GACGAACGCUGGCGGCGUGCUUAACACAUGCAAGUCGAGCGGAAAGGCCACUUCGGUGGUACUCGAGCGGCGAACGGGUGUGUAACACGUGAGUAAUCUGCCCCUGGCUUUGGGAUAGCCACCGGAAACGGUGAUUAAUACCGGAUACGACCACUUCUCGCAUGGGAUGGUGGUGGAAAGUUUUUUCGGCCAGGGAUGUUCUCGCGGCCUAUCAGCUUGAUGGUGAGGUAAUGGCUCACCAUGGCUUCGACGGGUAGCCGGCCUGAGAGGGUGACCGGUCACACUGGGACUGAGACACGGCCCAGACUCCUACGGGAGGCAGCACCUGGGAAUAUUCGGCAAUGGGCGAAAGCCUGACCGAGCGACACCGCGUGAGGGAUGAAGGCCUAUGGGUUGUAAACCUCUUUUGACAGGGAAAAAUAAAGUGAUGUUACCUGUAGAAUAAGCACCUGCAAACUACGUGCCAGCAGCCGCCGUAA
This 479-nucleotide ribosomal RNA is filed under the name uncultured bacterium. RNAcentral's name for it is "partial 16S ribosomal RNA". It matches the Rfam family "Bacterial small subunit ribosomal RNA", at positions 28 to 523 of the family's 1533-position model. The record is from RNAcentral.